Molecule: microRNA precursor, 75 nt
Filed under: Ascaris suum (pig roundworm)
Lineage: Eukaryota; Metazoa; Nematoda; Chromadorea; Rhabditida; Ascarididae
Description: microRNA asu-mir-5367 precursor
Source: miRBase by way of RNAcentral
AAGGCCAAAGCGGCCUCAGAUCUUGCCAAUUUUUCAAUGCGGUUAAAUUGGCACCUCUUAGACCGGCUUGGAGCG